UGGGGAAUUUUGGACAAUGGGCGCAAGCCUGAUCCAGCAAUGCCGCGUGCAGGAUGAAGGCCUUCGGGUUGUAAACUGCUUUUGUACGGAACGAAACGGCUCUGGUUAAUACCUGGGGCUAAUGACGGUACCGUAAGAAUAAGCACCGGCUAACUACGUGCCAGCAGCCGCGGUAAUACGUAGGAUGCGAGCGUUAAUCGGAAUUACUGGGCGUAAAGCGUGCGCAGGCGGUGAUGUAAGACAGAUGUGUAAUCCCCGGGCUCAACCUGGGAACUGCAUUUGUGACUGUAUAGCUAGAGUACGGCAGAGGGGGAUGGAAUUCCGCGUGUAGCAGUGAAAUGCGUAGAUAUGCGGAGGAACACCGAUGGCGAAGGCAAUCCCCUGGGCCUGUACUGACGCUCAUGCACGAAAGCGUGGGGAGCAAACA
Molecule: ribosomal RNA, 427 nt
Filed under: uncultured bacterium
Lineage: Bacteria
Description: bacterial SSU rRNA
Rfam family: Bacterial small subunit ribosomal RNA
Source: RNAcentral